This 301-nucleotide ribosomal RNA is filed under the name uncultured bacterium. Its description in RNAcentral is "partial 16S ribosomal RNA". It matches the Rfam family "Bacterial small subunit ribosomal RNA", at positions 509 to 807 of the family's 1533-position model. The record is from RNAcentral.
CAGUAGCCGCGGGAAUACGGAGGGUGCAAGCGUUAAUCGGAAUUACAGGGCGUAAAGCGCACGCAGGCGGUUUGUUAAGUCAGAUGUGAAAUCCCCGAGCUUAACUUGGGAACUGCAUUUGAAACUGGCAAGCUAGAGUCUUGUAGAGGGGGGUAGAAUUCCAGGUGUAGCGGUGAAAUGCGUAGAGAUCUGGAGGAAUACCGGAGGCGAAGGCAGCCCCCUGGGCCAACACUGACGCUCAUGCACGAAAGCGUGGGGAGCAAACAGGAUUAGAUACCCCUGUAGUCCCUGUCUCUUAUAC